UUGAUCCUGCCGGACCCGACUGCUAUCAGAGUGGGACUAAGCCAUGCGAGUCAACGCAGCAAUGCGUGGCAUACGGCUCAGUAACACGUAGUCAACAUGCCCAGGGGACGUGGAUAACCUCGGGAAACUGAGGAUAAACCGCGAUAGGCCAAGGUUUCUGGAAUGGACACUGGCUGAAACCUAUAUGGCCCCUGGAUUAGACUGCGGCCGAUCAGGCUGUUGGUGAGGUAAUGGCCCACCAAACCUGUAACCGGUACGGGCUUUGAGAGAAGGAGCCCGGAGAUGGGCACUGAGACAAGGGCCCAGGCCCUAUGGGGCGCAGCAGGCGCGAAAAUUCUGCAAUAGGCGAAAGCUUGACAGAGUUACUCUGAGUGAUGCCCGCUAAGGGCAUCUUUUGGCACCUCUAAAAAUGGUGCAGAAUAAGGGGUGGGCAAGUCUGGUGUCAGCCGCCGCGGUAAUACCAGCACCCCGAGUGGUCGGGACGAUUAUUGGGCCUAAAGCAUCCGUAGCUUGUUCUGCAAGUCUUCCGUUAAAUCCACCUGCUCAACAGAUGGGCUGCGGGAGAUACUACAGGGCUAGGAGGCGGGAGAGGCAAGCGGUACUCAGUGGGUAGGGGUAAAAUCCUCUGAUCCACUGAAGACCACCAGUGGCGAAGGCGGCUUGCCAGAACGCGCUCGACGGUGAGGGAUGAAAGCUGGGGGAGCAAACCGGAUUAGAUACC
RNAcentral lists this ribosomal RNA (721 nucleotides) under uncultured Nitrososphaerota archaeon. RNAcentral's name for it is "bacterial SSU rRNA". It matches the Rfam family "Archaeal small subunit ribosomal RNA", at positions 8 to 737 of the family's 1478-position model. Lineage: Archaea; Thermoproteati; Nitrososphaerota. The record is from RNAcentral.